GACGAACGCUGGCGGCGUGCUUAACACAUGCAAGUCGAACGGAAUGGCCCUGCUUUUGUGGGGUGCUCGAGUGGCGAACGGGUGAGUAACACGUGAGUAACCUGCCCUUGACUUUGGGAUAACUUCAGGAAACUGGGGCUAAUACCGGAUAGGAGCUCCUGCUGCAUGGUGGGGGUUGGAAAGUUUCGGCGGUUGGGGAUGGACUCGCGGCUUAUCAACUUGUUGGUGGGGUAGUGGCUUACCAAGGCUUUGACGGGUAGCCGGCCUGAGAGGGUGACCGGCCACAUUGGGACUGAGAUACGGCCCAGACUCCUACGGGAGGCAGCAGUGGGGAAUAUUGCACAAUGGGCGGAAGCCUGAUGCAGCAACGCCGCGUGCGGGAUGACGGCCUUCGGGCUGUAAACCGCUUUCGCCUGUGACGAAGCGUGAGUGACGGUAAUGGGUAAAGAAGCACCGGCUAACUACGUG
Molecule: ribosomal RNA, 468 nt
Filed under: uncultured bacterium
Lineage: Bacteria
Description: partial 16S ribosomal RNA
Rfam family: Bacterial small subunit ribosomal RNA
Source: RNAcentral